CACAUGCAAUCUCUAGCAAAAUCAUAAUCUUAUUGGAAAAUGUAAUGACUACAUGUGGGUAAAUACCCUCAACAUAUAAAAGCAAAUGAAUACCAGUCUCACCUCACUAUGGAAACUCCCUGAUGUUUGUUUGUAGGUGCGUCAUUAGAUUUGGCACGGUUUUUGGAACCGCCACAAACUUCACAGUGAACAUUAACCAAUCCCUCACCAAGAGACAGAGAGAGCUGCCAGAAAACAAAAAACAAAAAACAAAAAACAAAAACACUCACCUGAUGUCACACUGACACUUAGUCUUGUCAGGUUUGAAUCACGGUUGUUCUGUCCUUCUUGGGAAAAACAAAACGAUUGGAAAUCGUUUAUUUGGAAAUUAGUUGAGCAGAAGUGAAUAAAAUGCCUGCUGGGACAUCUGCGUCUCUCUGCUGGAUUCUACUCUCUGUCUGCCUCCUGUUUGCCUCUACAGAUGGGAAAAUCAUCAAAGCUGAGCCUGGACAGAACGUCACUCUGCCAUGUCGAACCCCGCAUAUCAGUGUCCCCAUCAGAUCUGUGGAGUGGUUCAGACUUGACCUCCAGGAAGGACAUGUCCUCAUGUACCAGGAUGAGCAGUUUAUUUCAUUGAACCAGCUUCCAUCGUUUGUGAACCGGGUGGAUCUGCAGGACAGACAGAUGAAGGACGGAGACGUGUCUUUGACUCUGAGGGAUGUGACGAGUGACGACACUGGAACAUUUCAGUGUUACGUUGUCCAGAGUGAAACAAAUGGCAGGAAAAGUAUUGUUGAUCAUAUCAGCACCGUCUACCUGAGAGUUGUAGGUAGCAGCGAUGGACAUCCAGCGAUGCGUUGUAGACGUUUAACACAAUUACAAUUGAAUCUUUUAGCGUAUUUCUCUUUUUUACUUAAAACCAUUGUUAAGGAGAUUUAAAAAAAAAAAUAAAGUAAGUUUUUAUUGUCUUUUUCGUUAUUAUUUUGCUGUAAAAGGUAAUAAUGCCAAUGAAGUCCUUAUAGUGCAGCCAGUCCCUACUUUAACACUGCUGCAAACCACUUUCACCAAAAUAAUUUUUCUCCUAUCAUUUUUUUUCUUUUAUCAGGUUAGAUCUUUGAUGAUUUCCUUGCAGAGGUUGAUUCGUUAUUAACAGCUUUGAUUCUGCUGUUUGGAAACUUGUGCUCCAGUUUAGUUUAUUCCCAGCAGUAAUACAUUUGUUGACCAUAAAUUCUUUUAUAGUUUUUAUGUAUUUGUUUAUUCAUUUUAACAAUGAAAACAAGAUGAUAACUAAUGCAACAGGAGAUAAACAAUAAUGAAAUUAUUUUGUUAAGAAAAAAGAGAUGAAAAUGGAGCGAUGUGUUCCGAGGAGUUUUUCUGUAUAAAACACGCCCAUCAGAAGGCCUGCAACAGUAACAACUAUCUCUCAUGUUUCCUGUUUUUUAUGAAAAUAGAACAAAAUGUCAACACUUGGGAUUUAUAAAAAAAAAUCAUUUUUUUAAUGUAUUUAAGGAAUGCGCACUACUUACAUGCCCAACACAAAACAAUAAAUAAAAUGAAAAGCUUCUUGUACUGCUAUCUAGGAGCCAUGUUUGGAUUGUAACUCAUGUUACAAGUUCACGAGUUUUCUGUCUUUGAGUACAUGGCAUGGUCAGAAGCUCCUGCACAUAAAGAGUUAAAGCAGAUGCAGUAAAAUAAGGAGCGUAAAGUCAAACUCUGAGUCUGACUUACAGCAAGACUGUCUGAUGCUUCCUGCUGCACCAAAAAGCAGUUCAUUUACAUUAAACAUUUCUGUGAAAAUCAACUUGAUGUUUGUUAAAAGACGAAUGAGAAACUUUUGAAUCAGUUAGUUGUUUUCUCAUAAAUUUACUAAAUAACCAUACACAAAGAACUUUGACAUUUUGGUAACCUUGUUGUGCAAUUCCAACAGGUUCAUUCUUUUCAUAUGGGCGUAGUAAUUUCAGUGGGAGAAACGUUUCGUCACACAUCCAAGUGACUUCUUCAGUCUCAGCUGACUGCAGGUUUCCCCAAUCUUAUAAACAGUACAUUUGGAUAAUGACUGAAACCAGCCCACUGAAAGAACAAUGAGCUGGGAGGUCAGUUCCUUCAUCAUUAAUAUGUAAAUUCUCAUGACCACAGGUGAAGUGCCGUAAGAGCUCACUGGAACAACACCUUUAAUUUAUUUAUGAAGAAUUAUGAAAUAUGAUCAUCAUAUUUUGCUUAAUCUUGUUCAAAUUCAGUUAUCAAUUAGGUGUUUUUAAAUGCAUAAGACCUCAUAAGGACAAGUCAAAGCUGUGUAAGUCAUUUUUAUAAUGUGAUGACUGGUGCACAAACUCAUUCACCAAGUAACCCAAAAGAAAACAUUCCACCUUAACUUUUUUUUCAUGUCUUUAUUUUAAUCAGUAAACAUUAAAGUGGAAUAUCCACUUCUUCUUUAACGUUCAUGAAAACUAAUGUAAAUGAGAAUGUUGCUGUUUUCUCGUUCAUUUACAUGUACUCUGCACUUCACUGAUUAUGUCAUGCAAGUUUUAAAAUAAACUGCAAACGCUUGGUGAGCAUUA
This is a long non-coding RNA of Oreochromis niloticus (Nile tilapia), 2537 nucleotides long. RefSeq lists it as uncharacterized. Lineage: Eukaryota; Metazoa; Chordata; Actinopteri; Cichliformes; Cichlidae. The transcript is spliced from 2 exons. The record is from RefSeq and is a predicted model, not a curated record.